This 235-nucleotide ribosomal RNA is filed under the name uncultured bacterium. Its description in RNAcentral is "partial 16S ribosomal RNA". It matches the Rfam family "Bacterial small subunit ribosomal RNA", at positions 99 to 334 of the family's 1533-position model. The record is from RNAcentral.
CGCACGGGUGAGUAACACGUAUCCAACCUGCCGUCUACUCUUGGACAGCCUUCUGAAAGGAAGAUUAAUCCAGGAUGGCAUCAUGAGUUCACAUGUCCGCAUGAUUAAAGGUAUUCCGGUAGACGAUGGGGAUGCGUUCCAUUAGGUAGUAGGCGGGGUAACGGCCCACCUAGUCUUCGAUGGAUAGGGGUUCUGAGAGGAAGGUCCCCCACAUUGGAACUGAGACACGGUCCAA